This 421-nucleotide unclassified non-coding RNA is filed under the name Hevea brasiliensis (rubber tree). Lineage: Eukaryota; Viridiplantae; Streptophyta; Magnoliopsida; Malpighiales; Euphorbiaceae. The record is from RNAcentral.
AAAUGAAUUUCAAUUAUAGAAUGAACUAAUAGCAUGUUAUAAGGUUUAGGUGUUUAUCAUUAAAAUGUCAAAAAGAAAUUCCAGGCCAAUCUGUCCAAAUUCUGAUUUUGCAAGUCAAAGAACUUGAUGCAUUUAUUUGCCCACUAUGGCAUUGUCCACAAAAUGCAUCAAGUAUGGAAAAAUGACAACAAGAUAGUAUGUUCUUGGAGACAUUAAAAUAAGUUUUGGACAUUUGUUAUCGGAAUGUCCACACACUGGGUCAACCUGUCCGAAUCCCGAUUUUGCAAGGCAAAAUACUUAAUGCAUUUUGAAAGAUGUUUGUUUGCCACUAUAGCAUUGUCCAAUAAGAGCAGUAAGUAUUGUACUGAAAUCCAUUGCAUUGAGUAUUUUCUGUACGCUUUUGUGCGCAUGUGUGUAUAAG